Molecule: ribosomal RNA, 577 nt
Filed under: uncultured bacterium
Lineage: Bacteria
Description: partial 16S ribosomal RNA
Rfam family: Bacterial small subunit ribosomal RNA
Source: RNAcentral
UGGGGAAUUUUGGACAAUGGGCGAAAGCCUGAUCCAGCAAUGCCGCGUGUGUGAAGAAGGCCUUCGGGUUGUAAAGCACUUUUGUCCGGAAAGAAAUCCUUGGCUCUAAUACAGUCGGGGGAUGACGGUACCGGAAGAAUAAGCACCGGCUAACUACGUGCCAGCAGCCGCGGUAAUACGUAGGGUGCAAGCGUUAAUCGGAAUUACUGGGCGUAAAGCGUGCGCAGGCGGUUUGCUAAGACCGAUGUGAAAUCCCCGGGCUCAACCUGGGAACUGCAUUGGUGACUGGCAGGCUAGAGUAUGGCAGAGGGGGGUAGAAUUCCACGUGUAGCAGUGAAAUGCGUAGAGAUGUGGAGGAAUACCGAUGGCGAAGGCAGCCCCCUGGGCCAAUACUGACGCUCAUGCACGAAAGCGUGGGGAGCAAACAGGAUUAGAUACCCUGGUAGUCCACGCCCUAAACGAUGUCAACUAGUUGUUGGGGAUUCAUUCCUUAGUAACGUAGCUAACGCGUGAAGUUGACCGCCUGGGGAGUACGGUCGCAAGAUUAAAACUCAAAGGAAUUGACGGGGUCAUAGCU